Pleuronectes platessa (European plaice) is the source of this 882-nucleotide long non-coding RNA. RefSeq lists it as uncharacterized. The transcript is spliced from 2 exons. The record is from RefSeq and is a predicted model, not a curated record. NCBI's taxonomy places the organism in Eukaryota, Metazoa, Chordata, Actinopteri, Pleuronectiformes, Pleuronectidae.
GCAGCGUGUCAGCUGGGAGGCACGGCGCAGUGCCAUGCAGAUGUAAUCUACACCUCUCCGUGCCAGACAACAGCGAUUGAAUCGCGGCAGGCAGCCGAUCUGUGACAUGCUGACAGGAUCGGCAUAGCGACACAUGUGUGGGUAUCUGCUUUCACGCAACACCUCCCGGGGAACAGGAAUGUGGUAGGAGGCCAACUGCUGCGGUGUGCGUAGGGGUGAAACAGUGAGGUGCUGAGAACGCUGCACGACUGGGUGGGACGGCGCACGAGCUGGCUGACACCACGUUAAAGAGAUCUGGAAAGAGAGAGAGAAUUGAAGCUUGGUGGAGAUAAGACGGAAGGCCACAGGCAAGGCUGGGCUGGUGAGAGGAAGAGCAUGAAAUAGAAAGAGCCGGUUCGAGGAAGUACGGCGGGCUAACUGGGAACAGAGCCGCGGAGGAUGUACCUACAGACAGAGAAGAGAGUCAGGGUUUCUCCAAACAAAAGAAUCAAGUAAAAAGUUGAUUCAGGCGCAGGCCAUGAAAACCGAAAAAGUGGCUCUAAUGGAGCAAGUUCACAAUCUGAAAAGGGAACAUAUAAAACUUGAGAUGGAGGUCCGACAUGAGGUGGAGCUGCUAAAGAGAGAAACCAAGAAAAGACAACCUUCCACUAAAUCCUACCUCGCCCACCUGAACAAGCUGGAUAUUGUUGAGAGGAAGUGGAGACAGGUCAAGCGGCUGGAGGGGGCAGAACAACAAGGACUCACUAAGAAGAAGUUAUUCUGAAGUAGCUCUCCUUAAGAACGAGCACUGCACUAGAAACAAGGCAAAACUGAACUCUAACUUUGGUUUUUACAGUUUUGUAUGUUAACGUCCAUAUGUUGGGAAUAAAGUGGGGAACUUGU